UACGAAGGGGGCUAGCGUUGCUCGGAAUUACUGGGCGUAAAGGGCGCGUAGGCGGAUAUCUAAGUUGGGGGUGAAAUCCCGGGGCUCAACCUCGGAAUUGCCUUCAAAACUGGAUAUCUUGAGUUCGGGAGAGGUGAGUGGAACUGCGAGUGUAGAGGUGAAAUUCGUAGAUAUUCGCAAGAACACCAGUGGCGAAGGCGGCUUACUGGUCCGGAACUGACGCUGAGGUGCGAAAGCGUGGGGAGCAAACAGG
Molecule: ribosomal RNA, 253 nt
Filed under: uncultured bacterium
Lineage: Bacteria
Description: partial 16S ribosomal RNA
Rfam family: Bacterial small subunit ribosomal RNA
Source: RNAcentral